GCGCCCGUAGCUCAUAUGGAUAGAGCGCUGCCCUCCGGAGGCAGAGGUGACAGGUUCAAAUCCUGUCGGGUGCGCCA
Molecule: transfer RNA, 77 nt
Filed under: Candidatus Erwinia haradaeae
Lineage: Bacteria; Pseudomonadati; Pseudomonadota; Gammaproteobacteria; Enterobacterales; Erwiniaceae
Description: transfer RNA Arginine
Rfam family: tRNA
About the family: Transfer RNA (tRNA) molecules are approximately 80 nucleotides in length.
Source: RNAcentral